RNAcentral lists this ribosomal RNA (254 nucleotides) under uncultured bacterium. RNAcentral's name for it is "partial 16S ribosomal RNA". It matches the Rfam family "Bacterial small subunit ribosomal RNA", at positions 524 to 776 of the family's 1533-position model. The record is from RNAcentral.
UACGUAGGGAGCAAGCGUUGUCCGGAAUCAUUGGGCGUAAAGAGCGUGUAGGCGGUCCUGUAAGUCCGCUGUGAAAGUCAAGGGCUCAACCCUUGAAUGCCGGUGGAUACUGCAGGACUAGAGUCCGGAAGAGGCGAGUGGAAUUCCUGGUGUAGCGGUGAAAUGCGCAGAUAUCAGGAGGAACACCGAUGGCGAAGGCAGCUCGCUGGGACGGUACUGACGCUGGAGACGCGAAAGCGUGGGGAGCAAACAGG